GCACCUGAAUAUAUAGGGUGUAAGAAGCGAACGCAGGGAACUGAAACAUCUAAGUACCUGCAGGAAAGGACAUCAACCGAGACUCCGUUAGUAGUGGCGAGCGAACGCGGACCAGGCCAGUGGCAUCAGGAGAUAAAGUCGAACGGAAUGGAAAGUCCGGCCUCAGCGGGUGAUAGCCCCGUAGACGUAGAAGACCUGAUGUCCUUGAGUAGGGCGGGACACGUGAAAUCCUGUCUGAACAUGGGGAGACCACUCUCCAAGCCUAAGUACUCGUGCAUGACCGAUAGCGAACAAGUACCGUGAGGGAAAGGUGAAAAGCACCCCGACAAGGGGGAGUGAAAUAGAACCUGAAACCGGUUGCCUACAAACAGUGGAAGCCCGAUAAGGGUGACUGCGUACCUUUUGUAUAAUGGGUCAACGACUUAGUGUACAAGCAAGCUUAAGCCGGUAGGUGUAGGCGCAGCGAAAGCGAGUCUGAAUAGGGCGAUAUAGUUUGUUGCAUUAGACCCGAAACCAGGUGAUCU
RNAcentral lists this ribosomal RNA (524 nucleotides) under uncultured bacterium. Its description in RNAcentral is "bacterial LSU rRNA". It matches the Rfam family "Bacterial large subunit ribosomal RNA", at positions 154 to 731 of the family's 2925-position model. The record is from RNAcentral.